UACGUAGGGUGCAAGCGUUGUCCGGAAUUAUUGGGCGUAAAGAGCUCGUAGGCGGUCUGUCGCGUCGGCUGUGAAAACUCGGGGCUCAACCCCGAGCCUGCAGUCGAUACGGGCAGACUAGAGUGCUGUAGGGGAGACUGGAAUUCCUGGUGUAGCGGUGAAAUGCGCAGAUAUCAGGAGGAACACCGGUGGCGAAGGCGGGUCUCUGGGCAGUAACUGACGCUGAGGAGCGAAAGCGUGGGGAGCAAACAGGAUUAGAAACCGAGUAGUCC
This 272-nucleotide ribosomal RNA is filed under the name uncultured prokaryote. RNAcentral describes it as "partial 16S ribosomal RNA". It matches the Rfam family "Bacterial small subunit ribosomal RNA", at positions 524 to 796 of the family's 1533-position model. The record is from RNAcentral.